RNAcentral lists this ribosomal RNA (408 nucleotides) under uncultured bacterium. Its description in RNAcentral is "partial 16S ribosomal RNA". It matches the Rfam family "Bacterial small subunit ribosomal RNA", at positions 28 to 526 of the family's 1533-position model. The record is from RNAcentral.
GACGAACGCUGGCGGCGUGCUUAACACAUGCAAGUCGAACGAAGUGGCGAACGGGUGAGUACUACGUGGGUACCCUGCCCUCCUUUUUGGGAUAAGCCUUGGAAACGUGGUCUCAUACCGCAUAAAGGUGGAUGGGCUCGCGGCCUAUCAUCUUGUUGGUGGGGUGCUGGCCUACCAAGGCGGUGACGGGUAGCCGGCCUGUGAGGGGGACUGGCCACAUGGGGACGGAGAUACGGCCCAGACGCCUACGGGAGGGAGCAGUGGGGGAUAUUGCACAAUGGGCGAAAGCCUGAUGCAGGGACGCCGCGUGGGGGAUGAAGGCUUGCGGGUGGUAAACUUCGGUCGCUAUUGAACGGGUAGGUGGAGAAGAAGCGCCGGCUAACUACGUGCCAGCAGCCGCGGUAAUAC